AUUGAACGCUGGCGGCAUGCCUUACACAUGCAAGUCGAACGGUAACGCGGGGCAACCUGGCGACGAGUGGCGAACGGGUGAGUAAUGUAUCGGACCGUGCCCAGUUGUGGGGGAUAACUGCUCGAAAGAGCAGCUAAUACCGCAUACGACCUGAGGGUCAAACAGGGGGAUCGCAAGACCUCGCGCAAUUGGAGCGGCCGAUAUCGCAUUAGGUAGUUGGUGGGGUAAAGGCGCACCAAGCCGACGAUCUGGAGCUGGGCUGAGAGGACGACCAGCCACACUGGGAAUGAGACACGGCACAGACUCCUACGGGAGGCAGCAGUGGGGAAUUUUGGACAAUGGACGCAAGUCUGAUCCAGCCAUGCCGCGUGCGGGAAGAAGGCCUUCGGGUUGUAAACCGCUUUUGUCAGGGAAGAAAAGGCUCCUUCUAAUAUAGGGGGCUCAUGACGGUACCUGAAGAAUAAGCACCGGCUAACUACGUGCCAGCCGCCGCCGUAA
RNAcentral lists this ribosomal RNA (498 nucleotides) under uncultured bacterium. Its description in RNAcentral is "partial 16S ribosomal RNA". It matches the Rfam family "Bacterial small subunit ribosomal RNA", at positions 29 to 523 of the family's 1533-position model. The record is from RNAcentral.